This 814-nucleotide long non-coding RNA is filed under the name Fukomys damarensis (Damara mole-rat). RNAcentral describes it as "lncRNA (ENSFDAG00000022206.1)". Lineage: Eukaryota; Metazoa; Chordata; Mammalia; Rodentia; Bathyergidae. The record is from RNAcentral.
UCCUGGUUGGGUCAGUGUCAUGAACACUGUGGCAUGGCCCUGGCAGGGAACAUUAUUGUAGAGCAGCCCACACAACAGGGGAACUGAGGUUACUAGUAGCAUAAGAUCAAAGCUAUAGCUCCAGUCUUUAAAGUCACGUGUCAGUGAUACAAUGGUGACUUUGUAACUCAAAAGAAUUCCCCCAAUUUCUUCGUUAAGAUUGAAAUCUUUUACAUAGAAAAACAAUUGGUAAAUUGUAGUGGAACUUGACAUAAGAGCAUCCAUCUUGGAAGAAACAUAAGGACAUCUGAGUGCCUGGCAAGCCGGUCAUCUCAGGACAAGAAAUGCAAGCAAUUCUUGUUUAUCCCUUGUAAAUCUCCCAAGAGGAUGUACACAAAGUAAAAGAUGUUUUUUAAGGGGUUAGAAGGACAAAGUAAAAAACAAAGUUGUUUUUGUGAACACAGCUGGCCAACAUAUUACAUAACUUCAGAUAUAAGAUAAAAUGCUAAAAACAUGCUUGUCGUCUGAUGCUCUGAACAGCUUCAAUAAAUACUGCAGCUGUGAUCAUGAGGCUGCUGUUUGCCUGAGCGAGCUGCAGUCCUCUGAUCCUGUUCCCCACUUCUUGCCUCUCAUUUUGCAACACCGACACCGAGACACUCGGGGAAUCAGCGACAUUUGGCGCCCCAACAGGGACUCAGCAGCUCUCCGUGUCUCCUCUAGAAGGAGACCUCAACAAGAACAGGGACCUGAGGACUUGAAGACUCAGGGACUCAAAGACGAUCUCGCUCCCCCGAUGGUCAAACUGAGACUGACAGGGAGAGGAACACAGGUGUGA